RNAcentral lists this ribosomal RNA (460 nucleotides) under uncultured bacterium. RNAcentral describes it as "partial 16S ribosomal RNA". It matches the Rfam family "Bacterial small subunit ribosomal RNA", at positions 338 to 795 of the family's 1533-position model. The record is from RNAcentral.
CCUACGGGUGGCAGCAGUGAGGAAUAUUGGUCAAUGGCCGUAAGGCUGAACCAGCCAAGUCGCGUGAAGGAAGAAGGAUCUAUGGUUUGUAAACUUCUUUUAUAGGGGAAUAAAGGUAUCCACGUGUGGAUAUUUGCAUGUACCCUAUGAAUAAGCAUCGGCUAACUCCGUGCCAGCAGCCGCGGUAAUACGGAGGAUGCGAGCGUUAUCCGGAUUUAUUGGGUUUAAAGGGUGCGUAGGUUGUUUUUUAAGUCAGCGGUGAAAGUUUGUGGCUCAACCAUAACAUUGCCGUUGAAACUGGAAGACGUGAGUGUGUUUGAGGUAGGCGGAAUGCGUGGUGUAGCGGUGAAAUGCAUAGAUAUCACGCAGAACUCCGAUUGCGAAGGCAGCUUACUAGGCCAUAACUGACACUGAAGCACGAAAGCGUGGGGAUCGAACAGGAUUAGAUACCCCAGUAGUC